GUGCCAGCCGCCGCGGUAAUACGUAGGGCGCAAGCGUUAUCCGGAAUUAUUGGGCGUAAAGAGCUCGUAGGCGGUCUGUCGCGUCUGCUGUGAAAACCCGAGGCUCAACCUCGGGCCUGCAGUGGGUACGGGCAGACUAGAGUGCGGUAGGGGAGAUUGGAAUUCCUGGUGUAGCGGUGGAAUGCGCAGAUAUCAGGAGGAACACCGAUGGCGAAGGCAGAUCUCUGGGCCGUAACUGACGCUGAGGAGCGAAAGGGUGGGGAGCAAACAGGCUUAGAUACCCUGGUAGUCCACCCCGUAAACGUUGGGAACUAGUGUGGGACCAUUCCACGGUUUCCGUGACGCAGCUAACGCAUUAAGUUCCCCGCCUGGGGAGUACGGCCGCAAGGCUAAAAACUCAAAGGAAUUGACGGGGACCCGCACAAGCGGCGGAGCAUGCGGAUUAAUUCGAUGCAACGCGAAGAACCUUACCAAGGCUUGACAUAUACGAGAACGGGCCAAGAAAUGGU
Molecule: ribosomal RNA, 509 nt
Filed under: uncultured Microbacterium sp.
Lineage: Bacteria; Bacillati; Actinomycetota; Actinomycetes; Micrococcales; Microbacteriaceae
Description: bacterial SSU rRNA
Rfam family: Bacterial small subunit ribosomal RNA
Source: RNAcentral